AAAAACAAGUUGGAUGAAAAUGAAAAGAUAAAUAAACAAUUGGUUGAAAGAGGGGGGGGGGGGGAGGGGGGGAAGAGAGAGAGAGGGGCUAACAAUAAAUGAUGAGGAAGAAAUUGCAAAGAGAGCAUUAAUGGGGGACGACAAGGCCAUUAAAUAGAUUGCUGAGUAGCGAGAAGGUUACUUAAUUGCUUGCGUUUAUCGCUGCAAUCGUCUUUUUUUUUCCUGCCCUCUCUUUCAUUGCUUUCUUAUCUCUGCAACCCACCUCCCCAUAUCACAUUUAAUGCUCUCUCUCACUCCCUCAGUCUGUGCAGUAAAUUAAAUGAAAACGUAGAGGAUUUAAUUUUAUAUAAAAUUAGAAGAGGGGGGAGGGGGGAAACUGUCACCCUUUUACAAAAUUUUCAUUUCACAUUUUCACCGCAUGUCCAUCAUAUAUCGGGCAAAACAUAUUUUAGUGGACACAGUUACUGAAGUGAUAAAACUAGCUAGAAAUGCCAAUUAAGGAGAAUUUGAUGAUGAUAAUAGAUUAUCUAAUGAUCAUUGUCCUUUUUUGCCUUUUACUUCAUAACUGUAGCUUCUUGUUGAACUCAGGAUUCAGUUGUUGAGUUGAUGAUGGGUUGUUGAGUAACUUUGAGCCGCUGGCUGCUGAGACCUCUGCCGCUUCUUUCGUUGAUGGUGGAUUUGUUGAUGAUGAUGAGGACGAUGGGGUUGUUAUUGGUGGUGAUGGUGGUGCUGCAC
This 735-nucleotide long non-coding RNA is filed under the name Citrus maxima (pomelo). RNAcentral's name for it is "long non-coding RNA (CMAX_LNC000593)". Lineage: Eukaryota; Viridiplantae; Streptophyta; Magnoliopsida; Sapindales; Rutaceae. The record is from RNAcentral.